Molecule: long non-coding RNA, 1459 nt
Organism: Anopheles merus
Lineage: Eukaryota; Metazoa; Arthropoda; Insecta; Diptera; Culicidae
Exons: 8
Source: RefSeq, a predicted model, not a curated record
AAAUAUAAGAAGAAGUGCCAUCGCUAGGAUAACCAGAUCAUUACUAGUGCUACGAAUGGUUAGUUCACACAAAAGAAUACAUACAUAGUUUGAAUAAGAGCAUUUACAUUUUAGCAUACGUUCAGCAACACAUAAUUAAAUGGCGAAUAUCUUGUCAUUUAUUUAUCUCCCGCUUCUAGUGGCAUUUCUUUUCGAUUGCGCAAGCUCAAUUAAUUGUGACAAAAAAAGAAACAAUGUGCAAUAUACCAUCAAACAACAUUUGUUCUGCAAUGGAUAUGAUCCAAAGAUACGACCGGCUAAAAGUGAAUUUGACUCAAUUAAUAUAACUACGUAUGCCUUUUUUCAUGGUUUUGAUAUUAGUGAAUACAGAAGCAUGAUGAAUUUCCAAAUAAUAUAUUACAUGCUUUGGUCAGAUACCUCCCUAGCCUGGAAUGCAUCGGACUGGUCCAACAUUACUACACUUAAUACCAACUACGAUGAAAUUUGGACCCCUCAGUUUGAAAACAUUAACUCAGAUUAUGAAGGACAACCAUCUGUAUCCUGUUUGAACUCGGACUGUUUGCUACACGAAGAUGGAGGUAUUUCUUGUUCGCCAGUCUGCAGAAUCUCCGCAUAGUGCUCGUCCGACUACUCACGCUGGCCGUUCAACACUCUAGUUUGUCAAAUGUGGUUCACAAAUCGAGAUAAAGAACUCGUAGAUGAAGUUAACUUUUUAUCUAUCAUAACAUAUUUGCAGUCAGCUCAUCAAUCUCCUAUAGCUAAGUGGUGCGUUACAAGUGUUUCAUCUAAUAAAACACAGUUAAGUAUUCCUGGAGCAACCAGCCGCACAGUUGAGGAGUUGGAAUUCAACUUGGAACACAGUCCUCACCUCACAAUUGCAAUAAUCUAUCUUCCUGCUUUUGUUCUGAGCAUGUUGAAUAUGUUUGUCUGUCUGUUGGAUUCCCGCGUCAAAGAGAAGAGUGUCAUCCCCUUAAUAUGUAUGGUAUUUCAUUUCCAACUACUCCAACAAAUGAGUAAUCCUACCCCUGAAAUUCCUGGAGUAGUAUUAUUUAUAAUUGCUUCGAUGAUACUGACGUUCCUGUUAUUUGUGAUCACGUUGAUCAACCGCUGGUUGCAUGAUCUGCAAUUAACUCCGCCAAACAUUGUCAUACGAUCGAUGAGAGCUAUCUUAUCUAGCCGUGUGAUGAAUUGGAUUCUUAAAGUAGACUAUCUAAGCGUCGGGCAAAAGCCAUAUACAAUUAUUAACAGCGAUGAAAGACUGACCAUGGACUGGCAAAUGUUUGUGAAAAUAGUUGAUCGUUCUAUUUUAGCUGCGUAUGUUAUAAUUUAUCCACUACUUUUCUGGAUAUAUAUUCCACUACAACACACACACAAUCGAUAUCAUAGAUAUGGUACGAGAGUGUGCGCUAAUUGAAAUAUGUGUUCAAUUAAUAAAAAAUAAAAGUAAUGUAUUUAUGUA